Molecule: ribosomal RNA, 651 nt
Filed under: Vibrio sp.
Lineage: Bacteria; Pseudomonadati; Pseudomonadota; Gammaproteobacteria; Vibrionales; Vibrionaceae
Description: bacterial SSU rRNA
Rfam family: Bacterial small subunit ribosomal RNA
Source: RNAcentral
ACGGCGUCGAGCGGCGGACGGGUGAGUAAUGCCUAGGAAAUUGCCCUGAUGUGGGGGAUAACCAUUGGAAACGAUGGCUAAUACCGCAUAAUGCCUACGGGCCAAAGAGGGGGACCUUCGGGCCUCUCGCGUCAGGAUAUGCCUAGGUGGGAUUAGCUAGUUGGUGAGGUAAUGGCUCACCAAGGCGACGAUCCCUAGCUGGUCUGAGAGGAUGAUCAGCCACACUGGAACUGAGACACGGUCCAGACUCCUACGGGAGGCAGCAGUGGGGAAUAUUGCACAAUGGGCGCAAGCCUGAUGCAGCCAUGCCGCGUGUGUGAAGAAGGCCUUCGGGUUGUAAAGCACUUUCAGUCGUGAGGAAGGUGGUAGUGUUAAUAGCACUAUCAUUUGACGUUAGCGACAGAAGAAGCACCGGCUAACUCCGUGCCAGCAGCCGCGGUAAUACGGAGGGUGCGAGCGUUAAUCGGAAUUACUGGGCGUAAAGCGCAUGCAGGUGGUUUGUUAAGUCAGAUGUGAAAGCCCGGGGCUCACCCUCGGAAUAGCAUUUGAAACUGGCAGACUAGAGUACUGUAGAGGGGGGUAGAAUUUCAGGUGUAGCGGUGAAAUGCGUAGAGAUCUGAAGGAAWACCGGUGGCCGAAGGCGGCCCCCUG